UCACAUGAUGAUUAAACACUUUUAAUUAAUAACUUUCGUUCUACUGACUGCGAUCAAACGAUCUUGUAGAUAAACUAUAAUCUGAUA
This 87-nucleotide small nucleolar RNA is filed under the name Huiozyma naganishii CBS 8797. RNAcentral describes it as "Kazachstania naganishii CBS 8797 Small nucleolar RNA snR54". It matches the Rfam family "Small nucleolar RNA snR54". Rfam says of the family: snR54 is a member of the C/D class of snoRNA which contain the C (UGAUGA) and D (CUGA) box motifs. Most of the members of the box C/D family function in directing site-specific 2'-O-methylation of substrate RNAs. Lineage: Eukaryota; Fungi; Ascomycota; Saccharomycetes; Saccharomycetales; Saccharomycetaceae. The record is from Rfam by way of RNAcentral.